CGGGAAGAUAAUGACGGUACCGCAAGAAUAAGCCCCGGCUAACUUCGUGCCAGCAGCCGCGGUAAUACGAAGGGGGCUAGCGUUGCUCGGAAUCACUGGGCGUAAAGGGUGCGUAGGCGGGUCUUUAAGUCAGGGGUGAAAUCCUGGAGCUCAACUCCAGAACUGCCUUUGAUACUGAGGAUCUUGAGUUCGGGAGAGGUGAGUGGAACUGCGAGUGUAGAGGUGAAAUUCGUAGAUAUUCGCAAGAACACCAGUGGCGAAGGCGGCUCACUGGCCCGAUACUGACGCUGAGGCACGAAAGCGUGGGGAGCAAACAGGAUUAGAUACCCUGGUAGUCCACGCCGU
Molecule: ribosomal RNA, 345 nt
Filed under: bacterium Fuku2-ISO-31
Lineage: Bacteria
Description: bacterial SSU rRNA
Rfam family: Bacterial small subunit ribosomal RNA
Source: RNAcentral